AUCCUGGCUCAGGACGAACGCUGGCGGCGUGCCUAAUACAUGCAAGUCGAACGCUUUUUCUUUCACCGGAGCUUGCUCCACCGAAAGAAAAAGAGUGGCGAACGGGUGAGUAACACGUGGGUAACCUGCCCAUCAGAAGGGGAUAACACUUGGAAACAGGUGCUAAUACCGUAUAACACUAUUUUCCGCAUGGAAGAAAGUUGAAAGGCGCUUUUGCGUCACUGAUGGAUGGACCCGCGGUGCAUUAGCUAGUUGGUGAGGUAACGGCUCACCAAGGCAACGAUGCAUAGCCGACCUGAGAGGGUGAUCGGCCACACUGGGACUGAGACACGGCCCAGACUCCUACGGGAGGCAGCAGUAGGGAAUCUUCGGCAAUGGACGAAAGUCUGACCGAGCAACGCCGCGUGAGUGAAGAAGGUUUUCGGAUCGUAAAACUCUGUUGUUAGAGAAGAACAAGGAUAGAGUAAAAU
RNAcentral lists this ribosomal RNA (470 nucleotides) under Enterococcus casseliflavus. RNAcentral's name for it is "bacterial SSU rRNA". It matches the Rfam family "Bacterial small subunit ribosomal RNA", at positions 16 to 465 of the family's 1533-position model. The record is from RNAcentral. Lineage: Bacteria; Bacillati; Bacillota; Bacilli; Lactobacillales; Enterococcaceae.